RNAcentral lists this ribosomal RNA (1001 nucleotides) under Staphylococcus aureus. RNAcentral describes it as "partial 23S ribosomal RNA". It matches the Rfam family "Bacterial large subunit ribosomal RNA", at positions 1432 to 2428 of the family's 2925-position model. Lineage: Bacteria; Bacillati; Bacillota; Bacilli; Caryophanales; Staphylococcaceae. The record is from RNAcentral.
GAUAUUCCUGUACCACCUAUAAUCGUUUUAAUCGAUGGGGGGACGCAGUAGGAUAGGCGAAGCGUGCGAUUGGAUUGCACGUCUAAGCAGUAAGGCUGAGUAUUAGGCAAAUCCGGUACUCGUUAAGGCUGAGCUGUGAUGGGGAGAAGACAUUGUGUCUUCGAGUCGUUGAUUUCACACUGCCGAGAAAAGCCUCUAGAUAGAAAAUAGGUGCCCGUACCGCAAACCGACACAGGUAGUCAAGAUGAGAAUUCUAAGGUGAGCGAGCGAACUCUCGUUAAGGAACUCGGCAAAAUGACCCCGUAACUUCGGGAGAAGGGGUGCUCUUUAGGGUUAACGCCCAGAAGAGCCGCAGUGAAUAGGCCCAAGCGACUGUUUAUCAAAAACACAGGUCUCUGCUAAACCGUAAGGUGAUGUAUAGGGGCUGACGCCUGCCCGGUGCUGGAAGGUUAAGAGGAGUGGUUAGCUUCUGCGAAGCUACGAAUCGAAGCCCCAGUAAACGGCGGCCGUAACUAUAACGGUCCUAAGGUAGCGAAAUUCCUUGUCGGGUAAGUUCCGACCCGCACGAAAGGCGUAACGAUUUGGGCACUGUCUCAACGAGAGACUCGGUGAAAUCAUAGUACCUGUGAAGAUGCAGGUUACCCGCGACAGGACGGAAAGACCCCGUGGAGCUUUACUGUAGCCUGAUAUUGAAAUUCGGCACAGCUUGUACAGGAUAGGUAGGAGCCUUUGAAACGUGAGCGCUAGCUUACGUGGAGGCGCUGGUGGGAUACUACCCUAGCUGUGUUGGCUUUCUAACCCGCACCACUUAUCGUGGUGGGAGACAGUGUCAGGCGGGCAGUUUGACUGGGGCGGUCGCCUCCUAAAAGGUAACGGAGGCGCUCAAAGGUUCCCUCAGAAUGGUUGGAAAUCAUUCAUAGAGUGUAAAGGCAUAAGGGAGCUUGACUGCGAGACCUACAAGUCGAGCAGGGUCGAAAGACGGACUUAGUGAUCCGGUGGUU